ACGUGAGCUGUACCAGAUUCCGAAGGAGUACCAUCAAGCCAUCCUUUGCCACCAUCCACGACGGCAACCUUGAACCUUCGAAACCCUCAAUGGCUAAACUUUUCAAGUGUGGGUGAGGUUGGAGACCAUCCAUGACACUGUUGAUAUUGUUGUCGUCGCAACCUUCUUUCGUGCCACACCAUGAAAGUUCUAAACUUUGAAUGCCUGAUUUUUCGGACAACUUUGCUUUUGCUGCGGAUUCAAAGCUGCUCACAUUUUCAAGUCCAGAAAUUCUUAACUCGCCUCGGAGGUUGCGCAAGUGUUCCAACUCCUCAAGUUGACAUCCCUUGUCUUGACUUACCCUGAAGUACGGCAACGUCCGAAGAUUAGCCAGCUGCCCGAUUCCAGGGAACAAACAUCUGAACCCAACGAAACCAAGCUCGAAAAACUCGAGAUGCCUUAAGUUAACUAAAUUGCCAAACUUCUUAGGUAUCUCUUUCAAGUAAUGUACUUUCAAGGUCAUCAAAUUGUAGAGCUUUGUGACCGAAUCUGGCAGAGCGGUGAUACGAGUUCCACUGAUAUCAAGAUGUCUUAAGUGUUUCAUAUCACCCACUGCAUUCGGGAGAUGAGUCAUAUGCCAGUAGUCUACUAUUAACACAGAAAGGUAUUUAGACCUUUCCAAGAUGUCUUCGAGCAUAAUACCAUCACCCCCACGAUAAUAAAGCGUUUGCAAAUUUGGAAGAAUCCCUUCGAUAUUCUUUAACACCUUCCCUUGACUCCCAAUGAUGGUCAAAUGCAUAACUUCAUUUUCAUGACGGACUUCCAUGCCACCCUCUGUAUUUAAGAAACAAUUAUUUGACACUUGCAGUGAAAGAUCAUGCACAAGGUCGUGCAUCCGGCAGCUCACAAUUCCGUUAAUGGAAUUCUUAUAACCAGCUUGCAACAAAGAACUCCGAAGCAAUACGUUGAAAUACUCACUGCCUAUAUCCUCCAUUUGCAAAUGACCUCCUCCUACCUUGGCAUCAUUUAUCAAUCCCUGGGCCAUCCAAAUCUGUAUCAACCUUUGUUUUUGCAUGACAGCGUCCUUCGGGAAGAUGGAACUACUUGCGAAGCAUUGUUUCACUGACCAUGAAGGUAAGUUCUCGUAACUCAGCUUCAGGGCAGACAUGACUCGUUUUCCAAUAUUGGUCGACUCGUUCCAUAUUUCACUCCUCUCGAGCUUCGACCAUUCCGAGGCAUCCUUUUUGGAAUACAACAAAACCCCGAUCACUUUGAUCGCUAAUGGCACGCCGCCGCACUUUUUCAGUAUCCUUCUGCCAAUGUCCACCAGAUUUUGAGUCUUUAUUGCACCACCGUCUGCAAAUGCUAGUUUUUCAAACAACAUCCAGCUAUGAUCUUCUGAGAGGAUGCCUAGACGAUGCAAGCCAGAUGUUUGCAUUGCUGAGGCUACCUCAUCGCUACGUGUGGUAGCCAAUAUUUUGCUUCCUGGAGCACCUCCAAUUGCCAACAAACGUCUCCUCAUGCCAUCCCAUUUCAGUGGAUCAUCAUUCCAAAUAUCAUCAAGGACAAGCAAGUAACUUUUUCCUUUCAGAUUUUCUUGAAGCUUCCUCACCAAUGCUUCCGUGUUUGUCGUGUCAGCACUUUUUGCCUCAGGGGAAGGUAGCAUCUUAUUCAACAGCCUUUCCACUUUGAAAUCAUCAGACACACAAACCCAUAUUAUUUUAUCAAAGUGCUUCACUACACACUCAUUUUUCAGCACCAGCUGUGCGAGGGUUGUUUUACCCUGGCCACCCAUCCCAACUAUUGAGAUGACGGGUAAAUCCUUCUUACAGUCUGAGCUAAUUAACCUGCUCACAACUUCAGAUACGUCAGCCUCCCUUCCCACCGUUUCUGACUCGUACACAAAAGGAUCAGUCGACCGAUCCACUUUGUGAUCAGUAGAUGCCAUGGGUAGUUGAGCUGGAUGAAGCCCCAUCUGUUUUGCUUCUUUGUAAGCUUCCUCCAGAGAUGCCAUAACUUCCUUGAUCUUGUCAGCCAUCCCUAGACGAAAGGAAAUAGGAUUUGAGGAAGAAAAGAAGUUGCGUACCUUGUCGCGCUUCCGAUUCUUAACCUUCUGCCGCAGAACUUCAUAUCCGAAGUCAUCCAACACGAUCUCAGCAUCACGUGCUAUGGACCGGAGCGUUUUCAGCCAGAGCUGCGCGGUUUUGGUUGUUGAUUGCUUGCAUUCAGCAUCAAAAAUCAAAGCUUCCAUCUUCCGUACACUGUCGGCAAGCUUCUGAAGGUCUUUCUCUACACCCCAUGCCCGGCUGAUCUCGGCGGCAGCAAGUGGAAGUAUCUUAUCCAAGAUCACACUAAGCACGGUGUCAGCCAUCUUCAAGGGAAACUCUUUAACAGAUGAAGGUAAAAUGCGUUGUUUGAAGUUGAAUAGUUGGACUAUAUAUUUUUUGCAGGCAGAGAUGAGCAACAUUCAACAGCUAGCGUUACAAAGCAGGGAAUCCAUUACUUAUCUUCCAUUUCAUAUUUUUUCAAAACGAAAUUUCCUACCAAGUUGGAAAACUAAUAAAAAAGUACUGCACCAAGAAAAGACUUGAGAUAAUUCAGGACCACACGGCUUGUGGGCACCAUUGCCCCGAAAUAAUUGAAUCUAUAGACGUUAAUUGAGGUAGGACCAAACCAACCUUUUGCCUUCGGGGCAACCUUUUGUUUUUUGGGUAAAGUGGCUACACUUGUAAUGCAUUUUCAAUCAUCUUUGCACAUGUGACAAAAUGUUCUCAUAAUUCAUUGCCCAACGCUGGAGAGAAGUAUUAAAAACAUUAAAAAGAAAAGGAAAAAAAAAGCCUUUGAUUGUUUCUUGAACAAAGCAAAGUAGCAGCAUGUAGUCUCCGGCGAAAGAAUUGCCAUUAUCUUCUGGCCGUACAUUUUUUUCCUCCCUGGCUCUUUAUAUUUAAUAACAAUUUAAUUAGAAUAGUAUAAAAGUGUCGGAUGCAAAUGUGUUAACUAACUUAAAGAAGGGAUGAGUAAAAGAUUCCUCGAGAAAGGGUGUGAAAACUAAAUUUCAACCUCUAGAUGCUCAUAAUGGUCAAUAGAUGAAAUUUCAACCUCUAGAUUGCAUUAUUCUUUCUCAUUGCUUUUACGAGGAAGGCCUGGCCCGACGAGUCAAUGAUUUGUUGCUCUUUAAAAUCGUAAAUAUAACUUAAUAUAAAUCCCAUUCUCAUUAUAAACAAAUUAGUUAAGAUUCCAAUCCCUCACUUUAAAUAAUUCUAAUAGAAAAGAAAUUCCAUUCUCAUUAUCAGACAAGCAUUAAAAAAAAUGUCCAAUUUUUCUAAAAGGCAUAUAGCAAGUUGACAAGAUGAUGAGUACGUGCACUCUAACAAUAGUUUGAAAUUCAUACUGGUAAAUGAACCAGAUUAGCUUAUGGAUCACAGUUCAACUAGUUUGAUACCAAAAUUGCCAUGAAAGCAAAAUUGUCAGAUCUCAAACUCAUAAAAACAAAAACAAUUGCAACUUGACCAAUUUCCAUUUCUGAAGUUGCUUAAAAAUCUAUUACCUAUGUUUGUGAACUUGGAACACCAACAGAUCAUGACUGGCCAUUGGCAGUAACAAGCACUGAAUCUGAGGUUGCUAACGUUGUAUUGGUUACAGGCAUCAUUAUUGUAUCAUCGAUCUCUUGCUGCAUCUCCAAGAUCAUGUUCACAUUCAUGCAUUUUUCUGGCCUUUCUAUUGGUUGGAUUGGCCUCAACUCCCAUAGUAAUGCUCUAAGAAGCCACAAUUACCGCAAGAAACAUACUCUAUAUUGUUGUCAGUACAAGUUAGCAUUGCUAGCAAGUAACUAAUGUGCCUAGGAAGAGGUAGUAGAAAUUAUCUGUUACUUCCCACUUCAGAUUGAAUAUAUAUGUGUUGCUUUGAAUGUAAUUUAUGCAUCAAGAAAAAUGGAUUUUCAAAAGUAUAUAACGUUCUGGAUUUGAAUGAGUUUGUGUAUGCAGCAAAAUGGAAUUAAAAGUUUUAUAAUGUUGAAAAUUAUGUGGAUUUAUAUUAUGGUUAGUUGGGAUUCAAAGACAUUAAUUCAUACCAAUUGUUUAUUGGGAUAUAAAAAUGGUACAUGGCGUGGUACGUUUUCGUGCUUUUUAUAUUAUGGCUGCCUGUACUUAAUUUUAAAUAAUCGAAAUUAGCAUUCUAUGUGAAUAUAAUAACACAACAUUCAAGAUUUACACCCCAUGACCGGCUGAUCUCGUCGGCAGCAAGGGGAAGUAUCUUAUUCAAGAUUUACACUAACACAACUGAGUGCAGCUUCAGCCAUCUUGGUUGAAGUUGAAUAGUUGAACUGUAUUUUUUUGCAGGCAAAGAUGGUCAACAUACAACAGCUAGCGUUACAAAGCAGGGAAUCCAUUACUUAUCUUCCAUUUCAUCUUUUUCCAAAACGAAAUUUCCUAACAAGUUGAAAAACUAAUAAAAAAGUACUGCACCAAGAAAAGAAAAGACUUGAGAUAAUUCAGGACCACACGGCUUGUGGGUACCAUUGCCUCGAAAUAAUUGAAUCUAUAGACGUCAGUUCAAAGUUGAAACACUACAAGUUGGGUACAAAAGUAUUCUUAGGCGUGCCCAGACCUGGGCUCCAGUUAUCAGACAAGAUAAUGCAAUAUCUUCGAAUGCCUAGUCAUACAUCCAAAUCGUGGUCUCCACCAGCACACGUUCAUAAAGAAGCUACUGACUCACGGCACCGCCCCCGAAUGCGGAGGGCCUGGGAAUCAAAUUAUUCCAAGCUACUGAAUUGAUGGAAAUAAAUCAGCUUGAUAAGAGAAUCAAAAAGGAGCAAGAAUAUAAAUUCUUUCAGAAGAUUAACGGAUCAAGAGAAUUAACCCAGACGUCAGUAAACAAAUGCAUACAGCGACUCACGGCUAAAGUCCCAAAUGACAGCAACCGACUUCCAUAGUUUGGGAAAGAUCUAUCGACAAACAACAUAUUUGCUAACUACAGACAGAUUGACGCUUACACUAUGUUACGAUGAGGCCAGAAGGCCAGAAUAUGGCCACAGUCAAUUUGGCCUGAAAAGACUGCCAGAGAGACGGAGACAGAGAAAUCUAUCCACAAAGCGUUACAAUUUGCAUUACAAAAACUCUGCCUUCCUGAUCAGGAAAGAUAUCAAUUUGAGUUAAUUUCAGAAUCUGCAAAAUUUAGAAAUAGUAGAGAGUCUAGAGACCAAAACAGUUCCCUUCCCUAUGGAUUCAUUCCUGUGUAUGUGAUACCUCUUUCCUACCUUUCUUCUCUACUACGUCAGUGCCAAGAAGAGAACAAGUUAUCUUUGCAGCCCAUAAAUUUGUCCUGCUCGGUUCAGAUGCUUGAAGCUGUUCUACAUGUUGUCACGGCUGAGAAUAGCGGCCCUGAUUAAUUUCUUGAAAAUUUUUGAAGAAAAAGAAGAGGAGAAAGAAGUUGCACUUGAAGAUUUGGAGAAGACUGUCAUGAAUUCGACAACUUUUGCCUUGUAAAAACUACCUAAUUAACUCCCCAGUUAAGAAAGGGAGAUAGUUCCUGCCAUGGUUUUUUACCCCUCAAAAAUCAAAAUCAAUAGACGGGUUUUCCACGUAGAAGUUGUAGUGUUCUUGGUUGUUCAAAUUUCUUUUACUAGCUUAAUUUACUUUGGUUAUUGUGUGUUUUAACGUAAUUUUUCUUUUAAGUUUCUUAAUUUCUUUCCACACACGAACUAAUAAAUGGGUAAUCCAAUUUACUAGCUAGCAAAUUUUUUGGGGUACAUCUUUAAAGUUUCUUCUUGUCCCACAAUUCAAGAAUGGUAUUACAAUUUCUUCUUGGGAGAGUACGGAUUAAACUCUUCUCCCAUUGGAGAGAAUCUCUCUCCAUUACUGAUUACACCUCAAUCAAAUUAAUUUUAAAAAUUAUUUUUGAAAAUCAACUUUCAUCAUAAUAUGUUUCAUUACUUGUGCUAGUUACACACAGAACUUCACAUGAAAUUGACCAAGUUUUGCCAUCUAAUUAAUCAUUAUUAAUUUUAUCCUAAUGUUAUCCAUUUUUCACCGCUCAAAUGUUCCAUGUAAAUCAAAUAUUCUCAAAAAAUAUUGAUCUAGAGAUCAAAAGAAAAAUAAUGACACAAUUACAUAAUUUUAUAGCAUUAUAUAAAUUUAUAUAUGAAUAAAUGGAGAGACCAAUGGACACUAACACUAGUCAUGGAUGAUGGAUCCAAUUUUUGGGUCACAUGACUUACUUGCAAGUUUGAAGGAAUAUCUGACAACAGCUUUUUCUUCUCAUAGUAGUAGUUUUUGCCCUUUUCAGCACACUUUGCACAACCACCUUUUAACAUAAUUGCAAAAGUUUUCAUUCUCAGAUGAACAAAAUUUGGUAUCAUCAUCAAAAUACACUAUAACUAAGGGCCCUAAUUAUUGUACAAUGUAGGGCUUUUCAACACUGCCCCCAGACACCCAUACAAAAUAAUGGGCGUAGCCCAGCAAUAACAAGAUACAGCUAAAUGAUUUUCACUAUCAACAAUUAAUGUUAAAUAAUACCUAUCAAACAAUUGGAUUAAGUGGAUCUACACACUGCAAAAGUCAUACUAGAAUGUCGAUAGUUAACCAAUUCCAAGAAUCAGGAUUACCAGACAACCAAAUGGUUGUUGAACUACUCAUUAGCAACCUUCUUCCAGGCGCCCCCUUGAUGAAAGAAUUGAGAGUAGUGUUAGCAGGCGAAUCGAGUUCAUGGUUGGUUCCUGAUCAUUUAUCCCAAGUCAAUUUCCAAAAAAAAUGUUGUCUGUUUUGCAGCUUCAGAGAAACUGAUUCACCAUUUCUUGUUUGAUAAUCUCAGUCAGUUGCCAUCUGAUCUGUUUGGAGAUUCCCUCCGUAUCAUUUCUAUGAGAUCCUGCACAACUUCAGACAUUGGAGGCCUAAACUCUGGCUCCGGCUGCAUGAAAAACUCACGAUGUUAGAACUUAUUCAUUGAAGCCAAGGAAGAAAUGAUAAGAGGACAUCACCAAUGGGAGUAUCCCAAUAACACAGUACUCAAGAGACUUCCUGGAAAGAAAGUUAUAUUCUCUUUUAUGUAUGUUUUCUAUACAAGAAAGUAGAGGUUUGAUUCCUUUGCAGGAUAAAGACAUAAUUUUGAUAUGUACCUAUUCAGUAUUCACCACUACCUUUUUUAAGUUUUUUAGUCAUAUGGAGGAAAAUACUUCUUUUUCCUUUCAACUCUUCCUCUCUUCUUUUUUUUUUUUUUCCUCUUUGGGUGUAAGUGGGAGGUCUCGAACCUGGGAUCUCUCACUUACACUCCCUCCCCCUCCCCCCACAUACCACCCAACCCAUCCCUCCCCCCAAUUUUUCCUUUUCCUUCAUUUUCCAACGAAACAACAAUGAUUUUGCAUACAACUUUCUAAGAAAUGAACUCGGAUGCCCAAUGUGCUUUAUUCGCAUUCAUCCAUUAACUUGGCCUUGUAGUAAGAACUACCAAAACCAUUCGCCACACCUGCCUACAACUACAUGGGAAAAUUUCUUUCACCGUACUAUGCUAUAUGCAAGUGCAAAGCAAAUUCUUGCAUUCAGGUAAUUCCGAGGUUUCUUCAUGUGCCAGCAUACUGUUAUACAAACGCAGCAUUGCAUCUUUAAUUUUGAAGAACUGAUAUCUAUGUAUAUUUAGGUUAAACUAGGGCUAAGGGGGGACCAGAGUUAUAGGCAGAAAGAUAAUUGAAUGUCUGGACUUCUACUUGCUUAAUACUACAACAAGAGCAUGCAUCUCCAUGUUCCAAUCUAAAACAUUAAUAAUUCUCUCAGGUGGAGUGUUGGAGUUAUGUAACCUUAAGUAAUUCAUAAACCAAUUGAGUUAAGAAACAAUUAGUUCGUUAUCCUAAGUGCACAGAAACUUGGGCAUAUAAGCUGCUUGUAAUUAUGUGUUUCCUAACAAUCUGGCAAGUCUAGCACUAAAGUUUGAGUACUAAAAGUAAAGGGGAUGUUUUUUAAGUCCAAUUUGAUCAAAGGUAACUUUUAUCUGUCAUGUGAUAUUUGGACCUGUAAAAGGAUGGACCCAACCACUUUAAACACUCAGAUUCUCAAGACUUGCUCUUAAGUGUUACUUUUUAUUACUAAACCCCCCUCAUCUUCGCUCUUCCAACCAUUAAGGGAGCCAGGGAUUGAACCAUGGGAAGUUGGGAACCAAUCUAAGGCCAUUCAUCCUGAUCAUAACAAAUCCUUGAACUUGAUCACAAAUCUGAAAGCAAGCCAAUAUUUUACUCAAAUUUAUGGUGGGUUUGGUAAGUCAGUGAGGUAGAUUCCCCUCACUGAAUACAGGCCAUCCUAAUGUCAAGGGUUAGCCCAAUAAUAGAGGAACAUGAGCUAUUAUUUCGGAUUUUAUAGCUUGGAUAUCAUUAUUCAUCUUUGCUAGCUUGGCCAUAUAGCAUUCAUCUUUCCUAGUGCAAUAAUCAACAGCUAAAACAGACAGAAUAUUGAAGUCCUGCACUUCUUGGUCCAAAGAAGGACAACAUUUAACUCACCUGGACACAGCGUGCAAUAAUGUCAGCAAAGUGAGAUAAAGAUUUAACAGGAUAUCUUCCAUUCAGAGAAGGAUCAACCAUCCUUGAUAAGGCAUCAAUAUCAUGAAGCUGUGGAAUAGACCAUCUGACCAAAAAUUGUUCUCCUCGAGCCCUUGUCCUACAUUUGAUUAAAGAGAUAAGUAUUGGAUUAGAUCAUGAGAAAAGGUGAAUUUAUAGUAUUAGGACGACUGUGCAGUUGUAUACCUGUCAUAUGACAUUCGACCAGUCAAGAGUUCCAGCAUCACAACCCCGAAGCUGUAAACAUCGCUUUUGGAAGUAUAAACUCCUGACUCAAAUUCUGGGGCACCGUAUCCAUAUGUAGUAAGAAGUUGUCCUGACAACUGAAAUUCAAAUAGAAAUCGCUGUCAGACGUACAAAGAGUUGCAAGUUAUUGCCUGAUGUAAAUAUUAUGCAAAGGGCUUGAAGAGUCCUCUUGCCAUUCUGCCCCAUGGUUUUUUGCUACUGUUACAUAUUUUAUGUUUGGUAGUAGCAUAGCAUAAGCGGGGUUACAAGUCAGUUAUCCAAUGUCUCUCGACUCCAAAAAGAACAACUACACAUCUACUGACUAAAUAAAAUUGUUGGUUUACCAAAAAAAUAAAGGAGUCAACCCUUGCUAAAUCCAGCAACUCUAACAGAUGCUUGCCAACUGGUCUUCAAGAAUGCUACUGUAGGCAGGAGAAUAAAUAUUUUUCAGUUUAUUCAUCUUAAGCUGUCAAUGUUGUUUUGGACUGUUUGGAGAGCCCAAAAAAAAAAAGUACUUGGUUGUGGCAAUUUCUUCAGAAUCUAAACAUAACAAAAUAGUGGCCUUGCAGGUCUUAAUAGCUUUACCUUUCAGAUUCUAUAUAUAUAUUCUCAACUCUCAUAGCCAUUUUAAGUUGGAAAGAAAACCCCAUACUGUCAAGUGCAUAUACAGUUAAUAUCUCAGUAUUAAGGCCUCCAAGCUUGCGCAUGACUUGUCAUGGAAAUGUUUGAAAUGGACAAAUACAAAAUAUGCAUGUGUCCAGGGAAGUCAUGGAAAUGUUUGAAAUAGACAAAUACAAAGUAUGCAUGUGUCCAGGGGGUAUGCAUGUGUCCAGGGGUGGGCCCCACAGUCCCCCAAGUUGUAUAAAAUUUAAAUUUUUUUUCUUACGAAAUUAAAAAGGUUUCAAAACUUUCUUCAUAAAUUAAAAUUUUUGCCUCCGCAAUUAACUUAUACAUUUGAGUUUACACAUAGAGAAAUUUGCCCCCUCAAGAUAUAUUUUCUAGGGCAAAUUCCACUUUACCCUCCUGUGGUUUAGCGUUUUUUCACAUAACCCCCCUAUGGUUUCAAAAGCUAUACAUAACCCCCUUAUGGUUUGGAUUAAAGUGUCAAAGUAACGGAAAUAGUCACUCGUAACGGUGUCACCUAAAAUGUCAAAAAUACCCUUAUGUAAGGUUGAAAUUUAUGUAUUAACCAAGGGGGGUUAUGUGUUUGUUUUGAAAAUCAUAAGGGGGUUAUAUGGUAAAGUAUUAAACCAUAGGGGGGUUAUAUGGUAAAAUAUAAAAAUCAUAGGGAGUUAAUGUGUCAUGUAUUUAUAAGGGUAAUUUCGACAUUUUUAGAGUUCCGUUACGAGUGACUAUUUCCGUUACUUUGACACUUUAAUCAAAACCAUGAUGGGGUUAUGUAUAGCUUUUGAAACCAUAGGGGGGUUAUGUAAAAAAAGGGUAAACCACAGGGGGGUAAAAUGUAAUUUACCCUAUUUUCUAAUUCCAUCCACCCAUGUGUCUCUCUAAAUCGUUUGCAUUUUUGACAGCCAGCAGCAGGGGUUGCACUGUCGGAGAAUACACCGAUAGCAAAGUAAAGAAAACUUGACCAACGUGUGUGUAUAUUUGACACAGUUGGGCAAACACAUAUAAGAAAUUGCCACCAAAAUUCCAAACAUCUCCAGCUAACCUUUAAAUGGUUCUGCCCACAGAGAGAGUCUUUCACAAGAUGCUAUAAUCUAACCUCCAAUUCUGAUGAUAAUACAACCAAGAUCUAAUGAGGCAGAUUCAUUUAAUCAGAAGAUAUAUUCAUCUAAGGAGAUGCUUAUCCAAGCUGCUACUAAAUCCUCUUAAUCUUUCUCACUCAUAGCAGACUACUCUCUCUUCCUAUAUCACGAGGAUCAAAUUCAUUUUGUUUCUAGUUUGCUGCUUCAGAGGAGGUUUGUCUAAUUUUUGCCCACACUAUCAUCCAUGGACCUGUUGGUCUUAAGUAUCAACUGAUGAACCAUCUGACCAUCAUCAUAAUUCAUGGAUCUUCUUUUAGCUACAUUACGCUCUCAUUUUACAGUAUUGCAAGCAUCAAGUCAGUACAAAUGUGUACCAAAAGCAUCUUCAUUCCUAAAUUUGUAUACAAAUUGCAAGUGCUUUGGCAAGGGAUCAUAAUAUUUACCUGACUAACAGCGCCCGAUGUAAUUAAAGAAGCCAAACCACAUUCGGAAACAUGCACAGCUAGCUCCUCGUCAAGAAGAACAUUGGCAGACUUGAAGUUCCUGUGAAUGAUAGGUGGCUCACAGAUCUCAUGCAGAUACCUUAUUAAUAUAAAGCAGAUGUUAGUAGUAUAGAUGUUACAUAAGUUUGAGUUACAUAUCAAGCACGUAAUGCAGAAUACUUGUUGAAAAAUCAUAAGACAAAGAUCAUUGAAUAGAAAGAGAAGAAUUCCACUGCCUGUGGACAACCAGAUAAUGACAUGGACAUGUGCUUCUGGCAAACAUUUCAGUGCUUUUACAAAGUGAUAUUAACUAUUUCAAAAAUUAAAGACAUAAAAUAUUUUGAGAUGUUAGAACCCAAAUCCCCCUUCUUUAAGCUUCUUACUAUAGCCACUCUGUGGGAGAGGGGGAAGAUUGAAAUGUAAGAAAGGAAGGGAGACGUAGGAUGAUGACGAAGCCUAAAUUACUAAGUGGACAGUGAGUAAAUGGAACCUUAUUAACAUAAGCUCGCUGCAACAGAUAGACUUACUUUAGCUGCAUUAUGAAGCAGCCUAAAUUACUAAGUACAUGAUAAGCAAAUAGAACCUCUUUAAUAUAAGCACCUUGGAAGAGAUAGUAAUACUUACUCUAGAGCUCUUGCAGCACCAAGAGCCAUUCUGAUCCGGGCAUUCCAUGAAAGUUGAUUUCUAAUAUCAUCAUCAGAGUGCAAAGCUUCCUGCAGUGAUCCAUUGCAGCAGUACUCAUAAACCAGAAGUCUUUGACCAUGUUCCGCACAGUAACCCAUGAGUUCAACAACAUUAGCAUGACGAAUUCUGUCAAGAUUGUUAACCAGGUCCAAAAACUCAUCAUCCUUUUGUUGAUUAGAAACCCUUUUGUCCAGUUUCUUGACAGCAAGCAACUGCAGGAGGAUUGACAAUCUUUAAUUAUUAGGCCAGUAUAUUCUUUCAAAUUCAUAGACUGCUUUACAAAUAAAGGAAAAGGAGACCGAAAGAGAAAUUUAAUAUCAGGACGCCACUAGAUUAAAAGCUGAAAAUCAUAUAGAAAUGUAACAUGCUCAAAAUAAGAGAAAGGCAAAUGAUAAAAUCUGCUCAUGUUUCCAAAAUGUUAAAAAAAAGGACUUUCGACAACUAAAGAAUGCACAUGAAAUUGACCAAGUUUUGCCAUCUAAUUAAUCAUUAUUAAUUUUAUCCUAAUGUUAUCCAUUUUUCACCGCUCAAAUGUUCCAUGUAAAUCAAAUAUUCAAAAUAUUGAUCUAGAGAUCAAAAGAAAACUAAUGACACAAUUACAUAAUUUUAUAGCAUUAUAUAAAUUUAUAUAUGAAUAAAUGGAGAGACCAAUGGAGAGAAAUCUAACAAACAGGAUCCUAACCCGGGAGGGCACUAACACUAGUCAUGGAUCCAAUUUUUGGUUCACAUGAUCUAAUUGCAAGUUUGAAGGAAUAUCUGACAACAGCUUUUUCUUCUCAUAGUAGUAGCUUUUGCCCUUUUCAGCACACUUUGCACAACCACCUUUAACAUAAUUGCAAUAGUUUUCAUUCUCAGAUGAACAAAAUUUGGAAUCAUCAUCAAAAUACACUAUAACUAAGGGCCCUAAUUAUUGUACAAUGUAGGGCUUUUCAACACUGCCCCGAGUCAUCCAUACAAAAUAAUGAGCGUAGCCCAGCUAUAAAUGAUUUUCACUAUCAACAAUUAAUGUCAAACAAUUGGGUUAAGUGGAUCUACACACUGCAAAAGUCAUACUAGAAUGUCGAUAAUUAACCAAUUCCAAGAAUCAGGAUUACCAGACAACCAAAUGGUCGUUGAACUACUCAUUAGCAACCUUCUUCCAGGCGCCCCCUUGAUGAAAGAAUUGAGAGUAGUGUUAGCAGGCGAAUCGAGUUCAUGGUUGGUUCCUGAAAGACUUGGGACCGUGAGAUCCAAUAUUGUGUACAAUCUCUACCGUCACAAACUAGUCCCAGCCCAUUACGUUCUAAUAGAUACUUCGAUAAAUCUUUUGCUAAUGAAAAAACUAAAGGAAAAGAAUAUUACUGGAACAUAAGAGGGCAUGGCAUCAGUAGAGGUACUUCAACUUUUCAAAGCCGAGUCGACAAAUAAGACACUCACCCAAGUCUUCAAGAACUGGUUCGACCGCUUCUUUACUUGCAUCUUUAGGUUUGAUGUUCUGAGAUGCUUCCACAGACGUAUUAGUUAAUUCCUUCUGUGGAUUCAGUAAAAAACUGCUUUGAACUCUCACAAUCUCCAUGCUCUAUUCCUUGCUUUUCAUGCAAUUCAAUUAUUUCACUGGUGAAAAGCUUAUCAGACAGGUCCCGGAACAAAUUGCAGAUACCAAACAGCUCUCCUUGAAAUUCUCUGCAAUCCUGAAAAGUGGGAUCAAGGACCCCAAGUCUUAGCGAUCACGACUAUGAUAUAAGAAGACAACUGUGCACAGAAUCAGAAAAUCAGCAACAGUACUUGCACACCAUCAAAGUAACGUUUCUCCGUUUUCCCAGAAACAGCAAUAUUUGCUAAUUGUUGCUUGUAAACCUGCCUGGCGUAAACAAGUUCCUCCAGAGAACCAGCUUCAAUAAGACGGAAAACAAUGACACCCCGCUUCUGCCCAUUACGGAAGACCUGUCUUGUGCCUGCAAAUCCUGGGCAGGAUUCCAAUUUGGGUCAAAGAUCACAACACGAUUUGCACUAACAAGAUUGAGUCCAAGCCCACCAGCUCGAGUUGAUACGAGGAAGGCCUGCAAUUAAGAUGUAAAAUUAGAAACUUAAGUCUCACAGUAUCAAAACUGACUCUAAAUGUCAAAACUAACCUGUUUGCUUGGACCUGAGUUGAAGUCAUCAACAAGAGACUGGCGUACUCCAGUCGGAGUAUAUCCAUCAAGCCUUGAAAAGCAACAGCCUUUGCGUAUAAGGAACUUUUCAAGUAUGUCCAGCAUUCUGCUCAAAAGAAAAACAUUAAAAGAAUAAGAGGGUAAUGACAAGCUGUCUCAACUCAACUCUUAGAAGUGUUUAAGGCUAAGUGUAGAUUCUUCAUCCAUUAUGGUGCAAAGAGCCAAUUCAUUGCAGGGACAUUACUGGCAAGUCCUAUUUCAAAAUAUCAACAACAUUUAAGUCCGACUAAUUUAUUCCAAGACCAAUAAAGACCAAAACUUAACGGAUAACAAAGCUUCCAAGUAAAAUUCUGAUUUUCAUAUAUUCUUUUAAAACUUCAACCACAGAGUAGCUUCCUCUUUUCUUUUCCAAAACUACAGAGUGCCCAAUUCCAUCCGUUAAACCAAAACAGUGCACAAUUCCAUUGGGGAACCCAUAAGGAAGAAGAAACCCAAAAAACAAAAAAUUGAGAAAAGAAGAAAAGAUAACGACUUGCUAUAAUUUAUUUUAGCAUACAAGCAGCAUUCAAGAUUCCUGGCAAUUUUUUACCAGGAGCCAGUAAAGCAUACGCUUGAAACUUUGAGCAGCGCAUGCAAAUUUUUGGCACGCGAAAAGGGAAACUGGACCUAUAGUCUACAUGGAGUCAAGUUAUGAAAAAAAUGCAUAAACAAGAAUUAGAGGCUAAUUCUUGUGUGAAACGUGGGUGUUUUGUUUGUGGUGGCGGCGGCAGACCACAAACCAAUUUUUUCCACUGGGCAACUCUUUCUUCUCUACUCUCUCAGUCUCUUGGUCGUUCCACAGAUUCCAAUUCCAAGCAGAUUUUUUGCACUUUCUCUUCGAAUUCUCCGGGGGAAGAAGCAAAGGUACCAUCGUUUAAGAUUGCGAGACUUCGAGUAUGCUGGCCAACUUUUUUGCAACUCCGAUGAUAAAAUUUCAAGAAAAUAGCAGUAAGCAGAGAUUUUUUUUUUUAAAAAAACCAUGUUUCAAUCAAUCUGUCAUUUUCUUGGUUCUGUUUUUGUUUAUUGACAUUAAGUGCUGACAUAGUGUCAAGUAAUGAGUUUUUUCUUUUCCCUCUUAUACUUUCAGCAUUUCGGCCGUGAAUUGAUCUGGUUUGAACUAUUUUUGCACGAUUUCUUCGGCUUAGUUUUAUGCCAUCCUUUUGUUGUUCUAGGAUUCAGCUUUUUCAGAUUUCCUCUAAUUGCAUUUCUGUAAUGAGCAGGUAAAAUUUGAAGGAAAUCUAAAGAAGCGCUAAUCUGGUUUCUCUUUUUUUUAAAAAAAAAAUUAUUAUUUACAUGAAUUCAUCUUUUUUUUUUUUGUCUUUAUUGUUUAUAGAUAAUAGGAAGCCAGACAAUCAUUAUUGACUAAGGAUUUUCUGUUGCCAUUGCUACAGCGCUGACCAAUCCAGUGAAAGUCUUCAAGGUAUGAUCAUGUAAUGUGCUUUUGAAUUUCUUAAAUUCUUUUUUUUUUUUUUGGCUCUUUCGGUUACGAUUACAGAUCAGUGUAUGUUUUUGCAAGUUCCCCCACCGCCUUUCUUUUGUUGAAGAUUUGAGGUUUUCCUUGCAUCAUUUUUAGUUGCAUUUUGAAGUUGCUGAAGUUGUAUUCCGGGCAAAAGUUGAUGGUUACAAGUGCAAUUGUGGAACGUCCUCUAGUUAAAUUAGCUCAAUUUUUGUUUAAUAAGUUCAAGCAGCAUGUAACUUUUGUAAACAUGAUAAAAGAAUUCCAGGAUUGUGUGAUUUAGUCAAACUUUCCAUUCAAGAUUAGCAAAAGAUCUCCAAUUUGUGGCUGAGUUUUUAUCAACCAAGCAGAUUUCGUUAAUCAUUAAUCUCAAAAGUCGUACAUUAAAUGCAUAUCGAAUUUCUUUCGGGAUUUUUCUAUAGGGAUUGAAGUGUUUUUUCUUAUCAGUUCUACAAUCCUGAUUAAUUUUGCAUUUCUUUUUGUUUAAUUUAAUUUCCUCUUAGAAGUGUUUUAUCUGUUGGCCGGCUUUUCUAUAUUGAACUUCUUGGUCUGUCCAAUUUUCCUUUUUCCCUUUUUGGAUUCUCGACUAUUAAUAAUUUUCCUGGUGCUUUUGGUCUGGAGACGUGUUUGAUUUUUGCAUUUUUGGUCUUCCCUUAAACCAAAAUCUGGUUAUUGACAGGAAAAGAUAAAAUGAAAAACAAGCCGGACCAAACCCCCCCCCCCCCCCCCCGGGGGAAAAACAAACAAAAAGACAACACCAGCACCGCUGCUAUACUAGAUUGAGAUAUUGGAAUUGGUUUCUCAGCAAUACCAAUUCCAACCCGAUAGUCAACUCUCUGUGAGCCACCUCCUCCUCCUGCUCUUACUAUUAUUGUUCACUAUGUACUGAUGCCACUACUACUCAGUUCUCCAUUGUUCAGCUCCAUUUAAUGCUAUGACUUGUUUUUUGAACUAAUAGUGACUUUGACACUAUAUUUAAUUUAAUUGGUUGUAUAAAUCUGUUUGGAUCCUUCAAUUUUUCAAAAAUUAGUUUUUUAAAUACUAUAAAAAUUUUUAAAAAGUACUCUAAAAUGUAGUCUAAAUUUUUUUAAUGUUUAAAAAUAUUUCAAAAUAUAUUUUAAAAACUUUACUACUCUUAAAUAUUUCAAAAUAUUUUCUAAAAAUAUUUCAAAAUAUACUCUAAAAACUCUAUUACAGUAAAAUUUUUCAAAAACAUUCCAAAAAACAGGUAAUCCAAAUGGAGUUGACUUUUCCUAUAUUACAAGUGAAGAUAGUAGAUGAGGGAUUUCUAGAUGCACACAAUUUCAACACUUCACCAGUGCCACAUUGUCUGUAUUAUCAAUUUAGGUCCUCUUCAUUAUCUCUGAAGCAUCUGCAAAGUAGCCACUUUUUUCAGAAUGCGUUUUCAAUUUAUAUAUCCCAAUUUCCUUUUGCAUGGAACAUAAUCUGCUGAAGAUGAAUAAUCUGCUUUUCAUUUUAUUUUCAUAAGGCAUUCUGCAUAUCUGAUGAUGAAUAGGAAUACUUAUGGGUACUCUCUCAACCAAGUUGCUUUCUUUCUCUUCCGCCCACAAGUUCAUUUUAUGUUUUCUUUGAGAUGCAGAUUGUCAUUUUUGUGGGGUUUCCCAUUCUAUUUUGUGUCUUUGAAGGAAUUGAAAAAAAAAUGAUGAAUAAAGGUUUUAACAACUCGAGCUAUUUGUUGGUUUAUCAUUAAUUGUGAGUAUCUAACAAAAAAAGAUAAUAAUUGUAGAGAAUGGAUAUGUUAUAAUACAAUCUGAAGGGCAUAUCCAUUCAGAUUAGAUUGGUUACUAUUGACUUUAUAAAAUUUUGAAGUCCGAAUACUUGUAGAGUCUUGGUUGGUUUAGGAAUUUUGUCUUUGCCAAUAUUGGCUAUUGAAUUUAACAUGUAGAUUAGUUCACAGUCUAUUAAUUAGCCAUGCCAUAGAAAUUUGGUCCGGAAUUUUGUGUCCUUUCUCUACACUUUUAAUCGGUUUGUAUUGGAUGAAGCAAGAGAUACUUUGACAGUUAGGUUAUCUGGGUAUGGGUUGAUAUUGCGGAACUCCUAAUUUGCUUUGAAUUGUUUUGGGCGGUGCAAAGUCAUAACGCAACCAUAUCCUUUGCCUACGAUAGAAUUAUGGAAGCAUGAAUAGUAAGUGUUACAUGGAUUUAUUUUCUCUUUAUUUGUUUUGGCCUGUAUUCUACCUUUGCCUUUCCUUUUGAGGGAAAUUUCAUGAUACUUUGUAAUUGUCAAUGCUACUCUGUUUGCUAUUGUACUUGCUGUGUUUCUCCAAGUGAGAAACCACGCACUUCUUUUUUUAUAUCUUUCAUUUUUUUCGGUGUUGCAAGUGAAAAAGGUAUAGCCAAAAAAUUCCAAUUACCAAAAUGAAUGCAAAUAUGGCCAUAAUUGUUUGUUUCUAACCCACAUGUAAAUGACCGGCUACGAAAAGUGACCAAACAAAAAGACAUUUUACGGUUCAAUAUUUCUACCAAAUACGCAAUACAAAAAAAAGACUUAAUAAAAAAAAAAAACAAUCCAUUUCAACAAGUAUACCCAAUACUUCAGGUCCGUUUGGGGUUAAAAUUAGGAGUAGAGUUUUUUAUGUUAAAAACACUUUUAAUAAAAGUUCAAAUUUGAUACUUUUAGAAUAGCUCUUGUUAUUUAAAAAAUAAAACAUCCAAUUUAAUCAUUUUGUCCUAUAUUAUGAAUCAAAUAAAGAGAUAAACACUUUUAAAAAUUUUUAAAAGUACAUAUUAUUCAAUACAAUAACUACUUAUUAAACAAUGUCUUCAAAUAAAAUAUUUAAAAGCACUUAAGCAGUUAAUAAAUACUUUUAUUAAAAUAACACAACUGACAAGUUUUAAUCUCUUUUUAUACCUUUCUAAAAUAAAAUUUUAAAUUUACACAUGAAAAAAAUGCUAGGGGUUCAAAAAUUUUGAAUUAAGUUUUUAUGUUAAAUUUUAUAAUACUUUGUUCAAAUUUUUAUAUUCUUAUUGUUCAAUUAUUAAAUAGUAUGUAAUUUUGCAACACAGAAUACGGAUAGAAAAAAAUUGGUAAUUAAGCUUAUUGAACAUUAUAAGUAAAUAUUUAAAACUAAUGAUAGGUGCAAAGAAUGGUAUAAAUUGAUAACUUAGUUUGCAAAAAUGAAUUUAAAUGAUUUUACAAAAAGUUAAAAUAAAUUGGUUAUAAAUGGGUAAUUAAGUUACCCAAUUUAUUUUUUGACUUACCCAUUUAUACCUAUCUAAUUAAGUGGGUAUAAAUGAAUUGAUUCACUUAUACCCGUUAACCAUUUUAACCAACCGAAACCCGCCAAAAUCAUCUAUUUUGACACCUCUAACCAUAAAAUACAAUAUGCCCACAUCACCUUAACCAUAGCACCUUAUAAGUUGGGCUCAGAGACAGAGUGGCAAGGUGAUCACCUGAUUGUGUGUCCUUUGAAAGGUAAAAAAAUUGGAAAUUUAAAGACUAAAUAUGGAUACUAAAGAAUAACUUUUUCACCAAAUAUUAUCACACUGCUACAGGAACUUCAGAUAGAAUACAGGAGUGGCUAUAUUCCCUGAAAAUUCCACACUAGUGCAAUUCCAUGAAUGAAAUUUGUUUGGGUAAAACCAUGUCUGCUAUGGUAAUUGUUCAAUCUGACUUCAUUAAAUCGAACUUUGGAAAUAUAUAUAUAUAUAUAUAAAAGUAGUGAAGGCUACUGGUUUGCUAUCAGACAGAGUCUAUCCAGAAAUUCUGCACCCUACUAGUAGUACUAGGUCAUAAAAUUUUCAAUUCCAUUGAAUACAUUAUACUUGCCAACUCAAGGACCAAUCACUGAAUCUUAAUGAAAAUUAAGUUUCACUUUACAAUAGAUUUUUUUUUUUUUUUUUUUUUUUGAAGAAAAAACGUCCAUUCAUUGCAUAUCAGCAAGAGCAGCUUCAGUAACAUUCGUAGGGAAGUUUACAAACCAUACAUUACUUCCCUCUAGAGUUAAUGACAAUUUAGACAUGAUAUGUGCAGGACCAUUAUUAGUCCGCUUUACAUGACUAAUCUUGACAUAAUCAAAAGAAUUCAGCAUAGAUCGGAUGCCAUGAAUUACAUUACCUAUUAGGGACAUGUCGGGUUCAUUGCUGUUAAUCCUCUGGACGACUCUUAAAGCAUGCAUCCCCUUCUAGCAAAAAAUGUGUGAUUCCAAAAUCUCUUGCGAACUCCAGGGCACUUAAGAAGGCCAAGCAUUCCACAUGUUCUGCACUGUGAGCUCCCUUAACCCGUGCUGCCAUUGCAGCCUCUACUUGACCCAAAUGAUCCCUAACCACCACCCCUAUUCCAGCUGCUUCUUCAGCGAAGGCUCCAUCCACAUUAAUCUUCAAAUAAUUCUCCUCUGGUGCAACCCAUUUGGUAUACUCCUGAUGUUGCCGUAAUCCUUUGUUGUUAUGGAUAUUGCAAUACUCUUGCAAGAAAGCCUUCGCAGAUUCGCCCACUUGUGUCGCCUCCCGUACCUUGCCCUCGAAUAAUUCUUGGUUCCUGCUUUUCCAAAUCAUCCACAUGGUGACCACAAUGAGUUCCGCUACUCCUACACUGUGAAACUUCAAACAGCAGUCAAACCAGUCCUUGAAGUUUGAUGGAGCAGACUUGCGAAUUGCUCUCAGCAGUCCCAUUCGCUCCCAAACUUCUUGAGCAAAACCACACUCAAAGAAUACAUGCUUAUCAGUUUCUUGCUCACAGCCACACCAACUGCAACGUAGUACGUCUUUCCUUAGCCUCGCUGAUAAGUUCUGCCCCGUAGGUAGAAUACCAGAGCAAGCGCGCCAAGCAAAAAUUCUAACCUUUGGAGGGAUGUUCAAAUUCCAAACCUUAAGCCAGAAAGACUUCUCUUUGCUACUGGAUGAUGCCCCCUCCCCACCUUCGUCCAACCUCUGCAAGGUUCUUGCGAGAUGGUACGCUGACCGAACAUCAAAACUUCCAUUUUUGUUAUAAUACCAGAUUAACUCAUCCUUAGCCCACCCUGGAGAACGAGGAAUUCUCAGAAUAUUCUGUACCUCAUGACUCAAGAAUAGAGCAUAGAGCAAGUCCUGUCUCCAACCACCAGAAUGGGCAUCAAUUAGGUCACAUACUUUAGCGUCUGGCCAUAAUGUUUUGGAACAUUGUGAAACUCGGAAGAAAGGAGGAUAAGGUACCCAAGCAUCAUCCCAUACCUUUAUAUUUGUUCCAUCACCCACUCUCCACACUAAACCCCUUUGCAGUAGUUCUCUUCCAUCUAAUAAACUCCUCCAAAGAUAAGAUGGAUGACUCCCUAAUUUGGCACUCAGAAAAUCUGUCUUAGCAAAGUAUUUGGCCUUUAAAACUCUGGCUGCCAGAGAUUCAGGAUUUUUAAUUAUCCUCCACCCUUGUUUUGCUAGUAAAGCAAGGUUAAAGGCUUCCAUGUCUCUAAAACCCAAACCACCUUCGGAUUUUGAUUUACAUAAUUGAUCCCAUUUCAGCCAACACAAUUUCCUCUCCUGCCCUCUUUGACCCCACCAAAAGUUCCGUAUGAGAGAAUUAAUAUCAGCCCCUAGCUUUUUUGUGAUCUUAAAACAGGACAUCACAUAGGUGGGAAUAGCCUGAGCUACUGCCUUGAUUAGCACCUCCUUUCCGGCUUGUGAUAAAGUGUUCUCCUUCCACCCUUUGAGCUUCUUCCAAACUCGCUCCUUAAUAAAACCAAAGAUCUCAGUUUUUGACCUACUAACCAUGUAUGGUAAUCCCAAAUAAACUCCUUUUCCAUCAUCCUCUUGCACUCCUAGCAGCCCACACAGUUGGCCUUGCCUUUCUUGUGACAUGUUGCUACUGCAAUAUAGCCGAGACUUUUGAAAGUUGGCCUUCUGACCAGAUGCUCUCCCAUAGACCCGCAGUACUUCUUGGAUGGCCUGGAUGCUCUGCUCAUCUGCUCUAGCAAAAAAUAGACUAUCAUCUGCAAAUAGAAGAUGAGAGAUUGAAGGGCCCCCUCUACCAAUUCGAAUCCCACUCCAUAAUCCCUGUCGCUCCAUCUUAUGGAUAAGUGACGAAAGGCCUUCUGCACACAAAAUAAAUAGGUAAGGCGAGAGAGGGUCUCCCUGACGCAAUCCUCUCCUCGGCUCAAAAAAAUCUGUAUGACCACCAUUACAAUAGAGUUGGACAUUGAGAAACAUGUCAACAGCAAUAAAGAUAUACACGAUGAGGUACUGAGUCAACAAACAAUCCCUUUAUUAUCAAAAUAGUUAGUCAGAACAAGAUUCAUCAAAAUCCCCCAAACAUUUGAAUGUGGUCUCAGCUCACCGCUUUGCAACUCUUUUCCUCACUGCUGCACCAUUGUCGAUUCCCGCUUGUGGACUCAGUCACUCAUCAUUGGACGCAUGGCUCUGACUCUCAUUCCAACACAACAGGGCACUCAGCAGACACGUAACACUACUGUAAAACUGUAACUCAGGUGUUCUCAUGGAAAUACUUUGGUCGUUGUUCUUGGUUGUUGUCCCUGCGGCAUAACAAACACGAGCUCAAGAAAUAGGCAGCCAUUUGCUGAAUCAGGAAAAAGGUAGUUCAAUUUAAGGAGAGAGCAGAUUGAAACAACAAUACAAAUGCAUCUCAAAGGAGAGAGCAGAUAAAUCCAAGAAUAAAUGAGACAAUCAGCAGACAGCUGGCAUUAAUAAGGAGAGAAAACUCCUCUUUUUUUUUUUUUUGGGUGACGGACGAUGAAUAAGUUGCCCUGACUCUGACCAUUGAAAAAAAAAAAACAAAGAAUGAAUAAAUGAAUGAUAAGGAGGAAGAAAGAAUCUACGGAAAGGAAAAUAUAAAGUGCAAUUGAAGGAAGAGUCAGGAUUAGUGUAACAUUUUAAGGAAGCAACUGCGUUUUUCUUUUCCUUAUUCCUUUCGGGGAUUAAAAACAAGAAAAAGGAGUAAUAGAAUUAAAAAAUUGGAAAUAUUAACCACUUACAGUUACAGUUUGUUUCCCAAAUGCGAAACCAGUCAAACUUCUUUUCCAUCGAUAUAAACAUCGGGAAUGUGUGCAAUCUUGGGCCACUCUGCGCUACUUCCUUUGGUGCAUCUCUCUGCUAAAAGAGGACACCUAGCGAUACGUAGUUGAUUUAAAUUGGUGAGGUGUCGUAUUGCUUCUGCAGAGGGCAAUUGUCUGAGGUUAGAGCAAUUAUUAAUCUCCAAUUCUCGAAGAUUCCGAAGGCUACCCAUCCACUCUGGAAGAACUUCCAACCCCUCAAACUCCCACAUAUUUAAAGUUCUCAAGGUAGAGAGAUGCUGAAUUUGGUCUGGGAGAGACGUGAUUUUUGGCCAUCCACGCAAUACAAGACGCUCCAGAGAGACGAGAUUGGUGAUGGGGUGUGGCCACGGGAAAUGAUCAUGGUCGUCAGAGAAGCCACCGAGUUCCAACGAUCUGAGGUUGGCCAGAUGGUGGAGAACCAUAAUUGGCCAAGAACCAAGGUCAUCAGAACGGAUCGUCAGCCGCUGGAGCGACGUGAACUUCUCAAGAUUAUUACUCAACGAAGGAUUCAACUUAUCACAUCCUGAGAUGCCUAGAAUACGUAGGGAUUGGGGGUUUUCCAUAUCUAGAGAAGCAUCUAAUAAAGCAGGGCAGUCACUUAAGUAUAAGGAUUCAAGAGAUGUGAGGCUAUUCAAAUUCCUUAUACAAGCCAAACUCCCGCAUCUCGUUAUCUGUAACUCCUUAAGAGAUGUCAAGUUCUCCAUAUCUGGUAAAACAGCCAACUUGGGGAGCCCUGAGAUUCUCAAGUCUCGGAGAUUAGGGAAUACUUUAAUUGAUGAAGAAGAAUCCGAGGGAACCAUUGCAUCUAACCACUCCUCCAGACUUCCCAUAUUCACCAAAACAAAACGCGACAGUUUAGGAAACAGAGUUAUUGGUUCCACCUCUCUGCUACUGCUACUGCUACAAGCGCUGCUCCUUGCAUUAAUAUCGAGACCAUAGAAUUCAGCCCCAAUGCGCUUCAGAUUGUGUAAGCGGACCAUCUGUAAGGACUCGAGACAAGGCAAGUCCCCUAGUGGUGGUACUUGUUCACACUUGCCCAUUCCCUCUCAACUCGAUGCCUACCAGAUUCCGAAGGAGUACCAUCAAGUGAUCCUUUGCCACCAUCCACGACGGCAACCUUGAACCUUUGAAACCACUAAUGGCUAAACGUUUCAAGUCUGGGUGAGGUUGGAGACCUUCCAUGACACUGUUGAUAUUGUUGUCGUCGCAAUCUUCUUUCGUGCCAUUCCAUGAAAGUGUUAAACCUUGAAUGCUUGAUUUUUCGGACAACUUUGCUUUUGCUGC
RNAcentral lists this long non-coding RNA (23502 nucleotides) under Coffea arabica (coffee). RNAcentral describes it as "long non-coding RNA (CARA_LNC003841)". Lineage: Eukaryota; Viridiplantae; Streptophyta; Magnoliopsida; Gentianales; Rubiaceae. The record is from RNAcentral.